This 906-nucleotide long non-coding RNA is filed under the name Theobroma cacao (cacao). RNAcentral's name for it is "long non-coding RNA (TCAC_LNC005633)". The record is from RNAcentral. Lineage: Eukaryota; Viridiplantae; Streptophyta; Magnoliopsida; Malvales; Malvaceae.
UUUUUUUGAAAGAGGAAUUUAUUAACACUAAAUUCCCAUGCCAUUCAAAUUCUUUAACAUUUUGAUAAAAAUUUUCCCUGAUAUAAAGAUUUGGGUGUACAACUCCAAAACGGAAUUUGCAUCACAAAAUAACAAUUGCAAUUUCCUUCCCUAAUUUGAGAAAAAAAAAACAAAAAGAACUCUCUACCCUUGAUCCAGAGUAACGACACUACGCAAAAAGAGUGCGACGAAAAACAAAAAACCUAGCUAUACCCCCCAGAUCCAAUUUAACAUGGUAAGUGCCUUCAUGUAAAGACUGCCACACUAACAAGCACGAACCGCAGGCCUACAAAGCAUCAAAAUAAAGACAGCUUGAUGAUCCUAACACCCAAUAGGGUACGGUUCAGCAAAGAAAAUGUCCUUAUCCUAAUCAUGUGAGAAUAAAAAUCCUACUGGAGCACUUCAUAACAUAGCAGCUCAACAACACUCCAUCUUAAUGUUUGAAGAUCAUCCAAAAUUCAUAUAGACAUAAUUAAUAAUCCUAAUGUCUUAUUUAUAUGAAGCUUUUUGAGCAUAGCGGAAAUUCUUACUAUAAAGGAAGUUUUUCAAAUUUUCGUGGGACUCAUGGAAAACCAUGUAAAGCUUUGGGUGGAAAGUGAUUUGUUGAACGCGAUGAGCUGGAUCAAUAAUCCUCAAGAAGCAUCAUGGAGAUUCAGGCAACAUGCAAAAGGAAGUAUUAAGUUGGAAGGUCACACACAUUUAACAGGGAGGGGAAUUGUGCGGCUGAUAUUUUAGUUAAGGAAGAUGUUUUAAGAGAGACUGAUUUCCUGUAAGUGUUUGAAAAAAAUUAAGGUGUGUGAUGGAGUCUCAUUUGACACUAGUUGUUUAAUAGGAAGAGUUUUAUCUUGCAGAGAAUCUUAGUUUGAU